UGCGGAGGGAUCAUUACCGAGUUUACAACUCCCAAACCCCUGUGAACAUACCUUAAUGUUGCCUCGGCGGAUCAGCCCGCGCCCCGUAAAACGGGACGGCCCGCCAGAGGACCCAAACUCUAAUGUUUCUUAUUGUAACUUCUGAGUAAAACAAACAAAUAAAUCAAAACUUUCAACAACGGAUCUCUUGGUUCUGGCAUCGAUGAAGAACGCAGCAAAAUGCGAUAAGUAAUGUGAAUUGCAGAAUUCAGUGAAUCAUCGAAUCUUUGAACGCACAUUGCGCCCGCUGGUAUUCCGGCGGGCAUGCCUGUUCGAGCGUCAUUUCAACCCUCAAGCCCCCGGGUUUGGUGUUGGGGAUCGGCUCUGCCCUUCUGGGCGGUGCCGCCCCCGAAAUACAUUGGCGGUCUCGCUGCAGCCUCCAUUGCGUAGUAGCUAACACCUCGCAACUGGAACGCGGCGCGGCCAUGCCGUAAAACCCCAACUUCUGAAUGUGAC
RNAcentral lists this ribosomal RNA (495 nucleotides) under Fusarium tricinctum. RNAcentral's name for it is "eukaryotic LSU rRNA". The stretch from base 168 to 321 matches the Rfam family "5.8S ribosomal RNA". The record is from RNAcentral. Lineage: Eukaryota; Fungi; Ascomycota; Sordariomycetes; Hypocreales; Nectriaceae.